Molecule: microRNA precursor, 94 nt
Filed under: Pteropus vampyrus (large flying fox)
Lineage: Eukaryota; Metazoa; Chordata; Mammalia; Chiroptera; Pteropodidae
Description: miRNA (ENSPVAG00000026762.1)
Source: RNAcentral
UCCUCAUUUAGGAAUAUGUGUAUACACACACACAUACACACACACACACAUAUAUGUGUGUGUGUAUGUGUGUGUGUAUAAUUUUUAACUUGCA